GGAAGCCACAAACGUCUCGUCACUGAAAAAUACUGUCUGCUGAAAAUCUGUUAAAAUGGUUAAAACAGUGUACAAGUCCCCCUAGACUCCUAUGAAAAGGACACUCCAUCAUGAGGCCUCUGAUAGUGACCUGAGUUACUGCCCUGAUGACACAGAUGGCUUCAUCAACAAUAACAGGCCCUCCCAGUCAACACCACCUCAUAAGAUAGCCUGCUUCAGUUGUUCGAGCGAUGUCCAGUUUGCAGCCAAACAUGCAUACAUGACUUCGCUGUCAGCAUUAAGUUGAAUGGAACAGUCAGCCUCAUGUUGGCAAGUAUCCGGCCGGCAACCUUCACCUGUCAGCGGCAGCAGCUUUCAUUACUUUCAUACAUUUGAUAAACUAAUUGUGAAACAAAGUGUAUGUAAACGAACUUAAUUUGUUGCUU
This is a long non-coding RNA of Coregonus clupeaformis (lake whitefish), 425 nucleotides long. RefSeq lists it as uncharacterized. The record is from RefSeq and is a predicted model, not a curated record. Lineage: Eukaryota; Metazoa; Chordata; Actinopteri; Salmoniformes; Salmonidae. The transcript has 3 exons.